AAUAUAAAACAUUAUUUACCCCAUUUGUAUCUGCGAGGCAUCCGUUACACAUUUCCCCUGUGUGGUAACGUAAUUAUGACUGUCGAAUGUCUGACUUGACUCUUGGUAAUGUAUUUU
Long non-coding RNA from Sinocyclocheilus rhinocerous, 117 nucleotides. RefSeq lists it as uncharacterized. Lineage: Eukaryota; Metazoa; Chordata; Actinopteri; Cypriniformes; Cyprinidae. The record is from RefSeq and is a predicted model, not a curated record. The transcript is spliced from 3 exons.